CGGGGAUACNAAUAUAAGACGAGAAGACCCCAUGGAGCUUUAAACCCAACGACACCCAUUUUCUUUAUACCCUANUAUUCAUUUGGCUAUGUUUGAUUGGUUUUAGGUUGGGGUGACCACGGAGCAUAAAAUAACCUCCACGAAGAAGAGACUAAUAAUCUUUAUCAAAGAAGUACACUUCUAAGAAUUAACAAAUUAAUUUCCAAUGAUCCGAUAUUCGAUCAACNAACCAAGUUACCCUGGGGAUAACAGCGCAAUCCACCUCAAGAGCUCCUAUCGACAGGUGGGUUUACGACCUCGAUGUUGGAUCAGGAUAUCCCAGUGGUGUAGCAGCUACUAAAGGUUCGUUUGUUCAACGAUUAAAAUCCU
Molecule: ribosomal RNA, 369 nt
Filed under: Boophis andohahela
Lineage: Eukaryota; Metazoa; Chordata; Amphibia; Anura; Mantellidae
Description: partial 16S ribosomal RNA
Rfam family: Bacterial large subunit ribosomal RNA
Source: RNAcentral